RNAcentral lists this ribosomal RNA (301 nucleotides) under uncultured bacterium. Its description in RNAcentral is "partial 16S ribosomal RNA". It matches the Rfam family "Bacterial small subunit ribosomal RNA", at positions 509 to 808 of the family's 1533-position model. The record is from RNAcentral.
CAGUCGCCACGGGAAUACGUAGGGGGCUAGCGUUGUCCGGAAUCACUGGGCGUAAAGGGUUCGCAGGCGGAAAUGCAAGUCAGAUGUAAAAGGCAGUAGCUUAACUACUGUAAGCAUUUGAAACUGCAUAUCUUGAGAAGAGUAGAGGUAAGUGGAAUUUUUAGUGUAGCGGUGAAAUGCGUAGAUAUUAAAAAGAAUACCGGUGGCGAAGGCGACUUACUGGGCUCAUUCUGACGCUGAGGAACGAAAGCGUGGGUAGCAAACAGGAUUAGAUACCCCGGUAGUCCCUGUCUCUUAUACA